GUAACACUAACUGGAGGACCGAACCGACUAAUGUUGAAAAAUUAGCGGAUGACUUGUGGCUGGGGGUGAAAGGCCAAUCAAACCGGGAGAUAGCUGGUUCUCCCCGAAAGCUAUUUAGGUAGCGCCUCGUGAAUUCAUCUCCGGGGGUAGAGCACUGUUUCGGCAAGGGGGUCAUCCCGACUUACCAACCCGAUGCAAACUGCGAAUACCGGAGAAUGUUAUCACGGGAGACACACGGCGGGUGCUAACGUCCGUCGUGAAGAGGGAAACAACCCAGACCGCCAGCUAAGGUCCCAAAGUCAUGGUUAAGUGGGAAACGAUGUGGGAAGGCCCAGACAGCCAGGAUGUUGGCUUAGAAGCAGCCAUCAUUUAAAGAAAGCGUAAUAGCUCACUGGUCGAGUCGGCCUGCGCGGAAGAUGUAACGGGGCUAAACCAUGCACCGAAGCUGCGGCAGCGACACUAUGUGUUGUUGGGUAGGGGAGCGUUCUGUAAGCCUGUGAAGGUGUGCUGUGAGGCAUGCUGGAGGUAUCAGAAGUGCGAAUGCUGACAUAAGUAACGAUAAAGCGGGUGAAAAGCCCGCUCGCCGGAAGACCAAGGGUUCCUGUCCAACGUUAAUCGGGGCAGGGUGAGUCGACCCCUAAGGCGAGGCCGAAAGGCGUAGUCGAUGGGAAACAGGUUAAUAUUCCUGUACUUGGUGUUACUGCGAAGGGGGGACGGAGAAGGCUAUGUUGGCCGGGCGACGGUUGUCCCGGUUUAAGCGUGUAGGCUGGUUUUCCAGGCAAAUCCGGAAAAUCAAGGCUGAGGCGUGAUGACGAGGCACUACGGUGCUGAAGCAACAAAUGCCCUGCUUCCAGGAAAAGCCUCUAAGCAUCAGGUAACAUCAAAUCGUACCCCAAACCGACACAGGUGGUCAGGUAGAGAAUACCAAGGCGCUUGAGAGAACUCGGGUGAAGGAACUAGGCAAAAUGGUGCCGUAACUUCGGGAGAAGGCACGCUGAUAUGUAGGUGAAGCGACUUGCUCGUGGAGCUGAAAUCAGUCGAAGAUACCAGCUGGCUGCAACUGUUUAUUAAAAACACAGCACUGUGCAAACACGAAAGUGGACGUAUACGGUGUGACGCCUGCCCGGUGCCGGAAGGUUAAUUGAUGGGGUCAGCGCAAGCGAAGCUCUUGAUCGAAGCCCCGGUAAACGGCGGCCGUAACUAUAACGGUCCUAAGGUAGCGAAAUUCCUUGUCGGGUAAGUUCCGACCUGCACGAAUGGCGUAAUGAUGGCCAGGCUGUCUCCACCCGAGACUCAGUGAAAUUGAACUCGCUGUGAAGAUGCAGUGUACCCGCGGCAAGACGGAAAGACCCCGUGAACCUUUACUAUAGCUUGACACUGAACAUUGAGCCUUGAUGUGUAGGAUAGGUGGGAGGCUUUGAAGUGUGGACGCCAGUCUGCAUGGAGCCGACCUUGAAAUACCACCCUUUAAUGUUUGAUGUUCUAACGUUGACCCGUAAUCCGGGUUGCGGACAGUGUCUGGUGGGUAGUUUGACUGGGGCGGUCUCCUCCUAAAGAGUAACGGAGGAGCACGAAGGUUGGCUAAUCCUGGUCGGACAUCAGGAGGUUAGUGCAAUGGCAUAAGCCAGCUUGACUGCGAGCGUGACGGCGCGAGCAGGUGCGAAAGCAGGUCAUAGUGAUCCGGUGGUUCUGAAUGGAAGGGCCAUCGCUCAACGGAUAAAAGGUACUCCGGGGAUAACAGGCUGAUACCGCCCAAGAGUUCAUAUCGACGGCGGUGUUUGGCACCUCGAUGUCGGCUCAUCACAUCCUGGGGCUGAAGUAGGUCCCAAGGGUAUGGCUGUUCGCCAUUUAAAGUGGUACGCGAGCUGGGUUUAGAACGUCGUGAGACAGUUCGGUCCCUAUCUGCCGUGGGCGCUGGAGAACUGAGGGGGGCUGCUCCUAGUACGAGAGGACCGGAGUGGACGCAUCACUGGUGUUCGGGUUGUCAUGCCAAUGGCACUGCCCGGUAGCUAAAUGCGGAAGAGAUAAGUGCUGAAAGCAUCUAAGCACGAAACUUGCCCCGAGAUGAGUUCUCCCUGACUCCUUGAGAGUCCUGAAGGAACGUUGAAGACGACGACGUUGAUAGGCCGGGUGUGUAAGCGCAGCGAUGCGUUGAGCUAACCGGUACUAAUGAACCGUGAGG
This 2182-nucleotide ribosomal RNA is filed under the name Escherichia coli. RNAcentral describes it as "partial 23S ribosomal RNA". It matches the Rfam family "Bacterial large subunit ribosomal RNA", at positions 756 to 2915 of the family's 2925-position model. Lineage: Bacteria; Pseudomonadati; Pseudomonadota; Gammaproteobacteria; Enterobacterales; Enterobacteriaceae. The record is from RNAcentral.